CCUAGGCUAAGGCUGGUUCAACAUCAAUGCAUUGUCACUUUUUUUCCUGGCCACGCAAUGUAGCCUAUCCAUAAAAUAUGUUUUAAUGACCUGUUUGUCAGAGUGGAAGGGAAUUGAAAAUAUACUGCACAUUCUAAAACAUACACUUAUAUAUGGAACGCCGUUUGAGUCUUAAAGCACGUGGUCAAAACGCAAUCUUUUUAAUUCUACGUGUGUAAAGUAAACAGGUGCAGGCGCUAAAUUAACGCCUACAUGCGUAAAAUAAGCACAUGCAAAUGUGCUUGCAGGCGGUUCAACAAACAGUCCUGCACACGUCAAGUUAACGCCUACAGCUGCUAAAUAUACACCUACAAAUGCUAACUUAACACGUUCUUUAAUAUGCUCAUUUUACUAGCCAAUUUCCCUAGCUCCUCUUUUCAACCAGAUUUCACAGUUUGAAGAAACUUCCUUUUCCACUGCAAGCAGAGUUUGAACCUUUACAAGACCUGAGCCCUAGGACCAUGCCUCAGGACUACCUGGCAUGAUGACUCCUUGCUGUCCCCAGUCCACCUGGCCGUGCUGCUGCUCCAGUUUCAACUGUUCUGCCUGCGGCUAUGGAACCCUGACCUGUUCACCGGACGUGCUACAUGUCCCAGACCUGCUGUUAUCAACUCUCUAGAGACAGCAGGAGCGGUAGAGAUACUCUCAAUGAUCGGCUAUGAAAAGCGAACUGACAUUUACUCUUGAGGUGCUGACUUGUUGCACCCUCGACAACUACUGGGAUUAUUAUUAUUUGACCAUGCUGGUCAUUUAUGAACAUUUGAACAUCUUGGCCAUGUUCUGCUAAAAUCUCCACCCGGCACAGCCAGAAGAGGACUGGCCACCCCUCAUAGCCUGGUUCCUCUCUAGGUUUCUUCCUAGGUUUUGGCCUUUCUAGGGAGUUUUUCCGAGCCACCGUGCUUCUACACCUGCAUUGCUUGCUGUUUGGGGUUUUAGGCUGGGUUUCUGUACAGCACUUUGAGAUAUCAGCUCAUGUAAGAAGGGCUAUAUAAAUAAAUUUGAUUUAUUUAUUGUAACAUUGCACAUAUUGUAACAGUCCCUUGACUAACAUGACUUAACUACUUUGCAUAAUGCUCAGUUUACCCACUAAGAAAUCAUACAUUUAUUAGAGCUGCAUUAUCUAUUAUUGUGUCCAAUUGAUUCUGGUUGGUUGUAAUGUUUUUGAAAACUUUCACUACACAACUUUUAUUGCUGAUAGACAAUCCUGUUGGAAACUUUCAUAAUAUCAAUUAUUUUGGGACACAUCAAUUAACAUUGGCUGCAGUAUUCCGAACUUACUAGGUAGUCAUGCAAUAAACGUUUUGGAUAAUUCCCCUUAAAUUAAUUCUUCAAAUCAAACUGUAUUUGUCACAUGUGCCAAAUACAACAGUGAAAUGCUUACUUACAAGCCCUUAACCAACAAUGCAGUUAAAAAUA
Molecule: long non-coding RNA, 1455 nt
Filed under: Salmo salar (Atlantic salmon)
Lineage: Eukaryota; Metazoa; Chordata; Actinopteri; Salmoniformes; Salmonidae
Description: lncRNA (ENSSSAG00000092534.1)
Source: RNAcentral